RNAcentral lists this ribosomal RNA (440 nucleotides) under uncultured bacterium. RNAcentral describes it as "partial 16S ribosomal RNA". It matches the Rfam family "Bacterial small subunit ribosomal RNA", at positions 338 to 795 of the family's 1533-position model. The record is from RNAcentral.
CCUACGGGUGGCAGCAGUAGGGAAUAUUGCACAAUGGGGGAAACCCUGAUGCAGCGACGCCGCGUGAGUGAAGAAGUAAUUCGUUAUGUAAAGCUCUAUCAGCAGGGAAGAAAAUGACGGUACCUGAGUAAGAAGCACCGGCUAACUACGUGCCAGCAGCCGCGGUCAUACGGAGGGGGCAAGCGUUAUCCGGAUUUACUGGGGGUAAAGGGAGCGUAGACGGCAGUGCAAGUCUGGAGUGAAAGGGGGGUGCUCAACCCCCGGAAUGGUCAGGAAACUGUACGGCUGGAGUGCAGGAGAGGUAAGUGGAAUUCCUAGUGUAGCGGUGAAAUGCGUAGAUAUUAGGAGGAACACCAGUGGCGAAGGCGGCGUACUGGACUGUAACAGACGUUGAGGCUCGAAAGCGUGGGGAGCAAACAGGAUUAGAUACCCGAGUAGUC